GUGUUGAUCUGAAUAAAUCUCUAGGAGGAGUUCGUUAAAGUACAACCCCUGAAAAUGGCAAAAACAACACAAAUUUUGCAGAGAAAAUUCAAAAUAACUGACUUCCUGUUGGGAUUCGAAUUUCGUACCAAGAGACUUUUUUGUAGGUAUUGGUGUGUUACAUGUGCGUAACCGAUUUUUGUACAUGUACGUGAAAUGUAGCUCGAGGCGCACUCCGUUGAAAAUGUAUAGGUGGCGCUAUCGAGGCAUUUUGCCACACCCAAUGGAAUAUUGGCCAUCAGAUGUGUUCAGGCCAGGACUCUUAUCGAACAUGUGAAGUUUGGGCAAGAUCGGACAUUUUAUGCCUGAGUUACAAUAACUUUUAUUCCCAUGGCGAGACAUCGAAUUUUGUGACGGCGCCAUGGACACGCCCUUUAACGAAAACUCAAGAUCUUCACAAUUUAACAUCGCACAGGCCUUUAGAAUAGAGUGACUGAAAAAAAAAAUUGAUGUCAUAAAAUUUCUCGGGGUAGUUUGUUACAGCGUAAAAUAUGUCACUUCCUGUUGCCAGUAGGUGGCGCUAUGACUAUAACUGAAUAUGGGCAUAUCAAUCUGUUCAGGUCAGG
Cyprinus carpio carpio is the source of this 605-nucleotide long non-coding RNA. Lineage: Eukaryota; Metazoa; Chordata; Actinopteri; Cypriniformes; Cyprinidae. The record is from Ensembl.